GGGAAAGUCAUAGGGGCUAUGGGGUUGGCUUGAAACCAUCUUUGGAGGGUUCAACUCCUUCCUUUCUCG
Galeopterus variegatus (Sunda flying lemur) is the source of this 69-nucleotide non-coding RNA. NCBI's taxonomy places the organism in Eukaryota, Metazoa, Chordata, Mammalia, Dermoptera, Cynocephalidae. The record is from the annotation of a RefSeq genome assembly.